CCUACGGGGGGCUGCAGUGAGGAAUAUUGGUCAAUGGGCGCGAGCCUGAACCAGCCAAGUAGCGUGAAGGCUGACUGCCCUACGGGUUGUAAACUUCUUUUAUAAAGGAAUAAAGUGAGGCACGUGUGCCUUUUUGUAUGUACUUUAUGAAUAAGGAUCGGCUAACUCCGUGCCAGCAGCCGCGGUAAUACGGAGGAUCCGAGCGUUAUCCGGCUUUAUUGGGUUGAAAGGGAGCGUAGAUGGGUUGUUAAGUCAGUUGUGAAAGUUUGCGGCUCAACCGUAAAAUUGCAAUUGAAACUGGCAGCCUUGAGUACAGGUGAGGUAGGCGGAAUUCGUGGUGUAGCGGUGAAAUGCUUAGAUAUCACGAAGAACUCCGAUUGCGAAGGCAGCUUACUAAACUGCCACUGACAUUGAUGCUCGAAAGUGUGGGUAUCAAACAGGAUUAGAUACCCGAGUAGUC
RNAcentral lists this ribosomal RNA (460 nucleotides) under uncultured bacterium. RNAcentral's name for it is "partial 16S ribosomal RNA". It matches the Rfam family "Bacterial small subunit ribosomal RNA", at positions 338 to 795 of the family's 1533-position model. The record is from RNAcentral.